ACAUCCAACUAACGAAGCAGAGAUGCAUUAGGUGCCCUUCGGGGAAAGUUGAGACAGGUGGUGCAUGGUUGUCGUCAGCUCGUGUCGUGAGAUGUUGGGUUAAGUCCCGCAACGAGCGCAACCCUUAACUUUAGUUGCCAGCAUUCAGUUGGGCACUCUAGAGUGACUGCCGGUGACAAACCGGAGGAAGGUGGGGAUGACGUCAAAUCAUCAUGCCCCUUAUGACCUGGGCUACACACGUACUACAAUGGCCGGUACAACGGGCUGCGAGGGAGCGAUCCUUAGCGAAUCUUUAGAAGCCGGUCUCAGUUCGGAUUGCAGGCUGCAACUCGCCUGCAUGAAGUCGGAAUUGCUAGUAAUCGCGGAUCAGCAUGCCGCGGUGAAUACGUUCCCGGGUCUUGUACACACCGCCCGUCACACCACGAGAGUUUACAACACCCGAAGUCGGUGGGGUAACCCGCAAGGGAGCCAGCCGCCGAAGGUGGGGUAGAUGAUUGGGGUGA
This 503-nucleotide ribosomal RNA is filed under the name uncultured bacterium. RNAcentral's name for it is "bacterial SSU rRNA". It matches the Rfam family "Bacterial small subunit ribosomal RNA", at positions 984 to 1483 of the family's 1533-position model. The record is from RNAcentral.